AACAGCAGCUAGGUCUAGA
Molecule: small nuclear RNA, 19 nt
Filed under: Arabidopsis thaliana (thale cress)
Lineage: Eukaryota; Viridiplantae; Streptophyta; Magnoliopsida; Brassicales; Brassicaceae
Description: snRNA_07879
Source: RNAcentral